Molecule: long non-coding RNA, 520 nt
Organism: Vicia villosa (hairy vetch)
Lineage: Eukaryota; Viridiplantae; Streptophyta; Magnoliopsida; Fabales; Fabaceae
Exons: 2
Source: RefSeq, a predicted model, not a curated record
UUGAAGUUUGAACACAUUUGUUUGUGACAUUCACACACUUGUAACAUAGUACUCUAUGAAUCUCAAUUUUUGUCUAUAUAAAAGGGUACACUCUUUGUCUUCCACUCAACCCAAAGAAUCUAAGUGAUAAGGUCAUAAAUAAGUGAACUCAUCACUAUGUCAAAAUUAGGCACUCUCUUCACCUUAACUCUUUUAUUAAGCUUGUGUUUAACUUAUGCCUCUCGUCCUAAUCUUGGAUUUAAAGCUGUCUCUUCUCUACAUGAGGAUAUUGAUGGUAUAGCAAGGUAUCAAGUGUAGAUUUGGAUGAUGAGAGUUGUGAAGGAAUUGAAAGAGAACAAGAAUGUUUGACAAGAAGGACACUAAUGGCACAUCUUGAUUAUAUCUAUACUCAACAUAAACCCAAAAACUAGUGAAAUCCACCCUACCUUUGGAAACAAAAUAAUAGUUCAAAUAGAGCAAUAUAUGUGAUGUAAAGCUUGUUUUUUUCAUGUAUAAAAAAUAUGCUUAAUUUAUAUUUCAA